GAUGAACGCUGGCGGCGUGCUCAACACAUGCAAGUCGAACGGAACUUGUUGGAUCAAGACUUCGGUCAAGUGAAUUCAAGUUUAGUGGCGGACGGGUGAGUAACGCGUGAGGAACCUGCCUCGGAGUGGGGAAUAACAGUUGGAAACNGCUGCUAAUACCGCAUGAUGCAUACGGAUCGCAUGGUCUGUAUGCCAAAGAUUUAUCGCUCUGAGAUGGCCUCGCGUCUGAUUAGCUAGUUGGCGGGGUAACGGCCCACCAAGGCGACGAUCAGUAGCCGGACUGAGAGGUUGGCCGGCCACAUUGGGACUGAGACACGGCCCAGACUCCUACGGGAGGCAGCAGUGGGGAAUAUUGGGCAAUGGGGGAAACCCU
Molecule: ribosomal RNA, 373 nt
Filed under: uncultured bacterium
Lineage: Bacteria
Description: bacterial SSU rRNA
Rfam family: Bacterial small subunit ribosomal RNA
Source: RNAcentral